AACAUUGUACCCCAUUUCUCCUUCAGCUGCUGCUGUCUCAGGUCUGCCACCAGCUUUCCCUCAAUUGUGGAAUGACUGUUUGUACAUGUUGCCAUCUCUUGACGUCUGAACAAAAUCUGCUGUUCUCCUUUCAAUAUUUUUAAUGAGUGUCCUAUGACUAGUUUCACACAAUCAGUCCCAGAUGCUUCAGACACGUUGGAUCCUUAUGGGUCAGAGGGAAACCACACAGACUCCCAGAUCUGGAAUGAGAGUGCAGGAGAGAUGCAACAGAGGAAAAGGUCUUCACAAACCCCAGUUCCAGGAAGGAGAGAGUUUACUUGGAAGAGGAACCAGGGUUGACAGCUGCAUGGCUGUUCUCCAAAGAUCCUUUCAGAAACUUGGCAUCCUAGCUGCUCUGUCAUCUCAUUGGUGCAUACAGUAUCCAAAAUGUUCCUUUGGCCUUGGUCCACUGUGUCUGUUGCAAUCUCUCCUUUUUGUGAAGCCUUUGGCAAAGGACAUCAGAAAAGGACAACAUAUUGUGCAUACUUCUAAUAAAAGGCCUGGAAAAAAACUGCUGACAUACUAGUCAGCCAUAUAUUCCAGGAAGAGUUGGGAAUGUACAGUUUUGGGGUCAUGGAGCCUCCAGUAAUUUAUAGAAAAUAUAUAUUUUUCAUGGAUAAUCCUAAUAGUUUUCUUCAGCAGACCAUUUCAAAACUUUUAGAAAUUAAUUAUUGCUUAUAAUGCAAUUUACAACAGGUUUUUUUUUCUGUCAUAUCUGAAUGCUUGGCUUUUGAAAAGAAAAUAUGAUUUUAUUGUUGGAUUAUAUUCUGGUGCAAAUUUAGGUCUCUUUUUGGAGUGUGCUUACAGUAGUUAAGAAGUAUAAAUUCAGAAGAGGGCAACCUCAUAACAGAUUUUUAGUUAUUGGGUUUCACAGAUGAAAAUAAAAUGUUUCAGUUAUUUAAACUGUAAAAUGAA
Molecule: long non-coding RNA, 954 nt
Filed under: Apteryx owenii (little spotted kiwi)
Lineage: Eukaryota; Metazoa; Chordata; Aves; Apterygiformes; Apterygidae
Description: lncRNA (ENSAOWG00000002068.1)
Source: RNAcentral